CCUUUGCCCAUCCAUCUUCAGGACACAGGACACGCCUGCAGCUGAGGAGGAGAGAGAAAUUGAGUUGACAGAGCAGUCAGAGAGCCUCUCUUUUCUUCUGCAUACUUUUCCUUUUAUCUUUCUCUCUUCAGUUUCAGAGCUUCUUGUUCUCACCUUCAUGCUGUGGUAGUGCUGACAAAGAAAACUGCAGCCCUGCAAGCUGGUGGUGAGUAAUGGCCCCAGGCCCUGAAUACCUAAUGCCUAUUGUAUGUGUGUGGGGGAGGGAGACCCACAGGGAGGGGAAGAAUUUGGUCAGAUUGCCUGGGUAGGAACAGAACCUUGUGGUGAGGACCCUGGAUGCAUCCAGAGAGUAUCUAGAGUUUUGAUACCUGUCCCUUAAUUAAAUCCAAGGAUCUAAUAGGCAUGGCCUUUCGGAAUGCUUUGUUCAAACAGAUUUGAUUCCUGCCCAGGGGCUUUUUAAGCCACUGACCACUUUGAACCUAAUUAGAAAAAGCAGAGGACACUGGAGACAUUUAAUAAAAGGCAUCAAGUUGCUGCUUCAUCUUCAUGACCUGGGAUUUAUAAGGGAAUUUCACUGGCUUUGUAGCAAUGUAAAAUAAAUAGACAUUAGAUGAUGACAGGGAAAGCAAAAUUGCUGCCAAAGCUAAAAAGAGCUUGGCAAAAGAAGAAAGGACUACUACAUAGUCAGUCAUUAUUUACUGUACAAACCUUUUCAUAAAGCAUAGGAGAGAGAUACAUAGGAAUAAUGGGCCCCUGCGAAAAGAUGAAAAGAGCUUUCUAUAGCUCACAUCAUCCCCUGACUGACGAAGGCACUGACAUGUCCCCUUGUUACACAAUCUUAUUGUUCUAUUCAGCCAUUCAGAAAGCUGAAUGCGCAGCCCUGAUCUGGACUUUGAAAGGCUGAAAUACAGAGUCCACACAUUUCCAAAGAAAAGAAUAAAACUGUAACGGAUGGAAAUAACUAAUUAAUUUGUUAAUCCUUGCAGACUGCCACGGUCCACUGCAUAGUUUUAGCUGGUUAAUUAUUCUGUAGCCUGUAAGACUAACAUGUAAAUAAGUGCAGUUACCUAACCCCGACAGCUCCUGACAAAAGAAUCCAACUGUUCAUUGUUUAAUUUAAAGGGAGCAAGGCUUUGCUUUUUGUUGGUGGUGCCCGUAUUGAGAAGUUCAUGAACCAAUGUGACCUGACAGACUUCCAUUCCUUCACACUUCAGAGAAAUGGUUUGGUUCCCCAGUAUGUGGCCUUUUCUCCACCUCAAAAAGCUGAAACCAUGUGACUUCUCUAAGUAACACUGUGUCUACCCAAUCCAACAACAGGAAACAAUUUUUAGAUGUUAGUGACAGAAACUAUUUUUAUCAACUUUAAAGUGCUCCUACUGUGAAUUACUACAACUAUAACCCUGGUGUAGAUCAGAACAGAGAAGCACACUAGAAAGAUUUAAAGGGCCAAGGUACAUUAUUUAGUAAUGCAAUUAAUAGCCUAUUAUUCUACUAGAUUUCAUCUUAGCCACUAGAAUCCAUAAAUAGACUUAUAAAUAGAUUUAUAGGUAGGACUUUCAAAAAUGCAUAUAUGUAGAUAUAGGGGUGUGUGUGUGUGUGUAAGAGAUUGGUGGAAUAGGGAAGAAAGUGUUCCUACAACAUUUGAGAAAUAUGGAGAUAAAAGGCCCCAAAAUGUAUCCUGCAGAAUACACAAGGGACCAUUCUGGGGCCAAGGGUGUGGCUCAGUGGUACAGCCUGUGCUUAGCUUAGGCGAGGCCCUGGGUUUAAUCCCCAGCACCACUAAAAAAUGUUUUAAAGGGAACUGUUCUAACAAAGAAGAAAACAUGAUCCCAUAGGCUGUGCUGAGUGAUCCCAUAGGACUGUACUGAGUGAUGCCACAGGCUGUACUGAGUGCUCCCAUAGGCUACACUGAGUGUUCCCAUAGGCUGUACUAAUCUCUAUUUCAGUACUCAAAACAGACAAACCCCCGUCUAACUAGGUUGGUCAGAAAAUAGUGGGCUCUUUAUAAAACAGCAUGGAGUCACCUGACAACCACCAGAUAAAUGAGUAUCUGCCCUGCCUCUACUUCUUUAUGACAGUAGGGCUUCAUACAAGUCACUGUCCUCUCUAAGCCACCAUCCACUCCCACAAGAGGAAAAUUGGGGAACUGACACCUCCUGCCUCACAGUGCUGUUAUCUCCAAGAACAAAUAACCAUGAUAUAUCCGGAUCGUGUGCUCAAAGUCAUGAAGUCCCAUGAAAAUAUGGAAUUUAAUGUAUUCUAAUAGUCAUUGCCCAUCUAAGCAAUAGAUUCACCAUUUUUAAAGGACAUGAAAAAAUAUCAGAACAAUCUUUAAAUAUUAAGAAUUUUAGAAAGAAGCAUCAAUGCCUCUCCUCUACUGUGAAUGUGAGCAUCAAUUACAAAAAUAUUUAAAUGAAAUAUAUGACUUACUGAGAGCCAUAGCGGAGUCGGAAUGACGCCAACAGAGGUGAGGCAAAGAACCUCACCCCCCCCCACUGGUACAAAGGCCAAAUUUGGGGGCCAACAGAGGUGAGGCAAAGAACCUCAUCCCCCCACACACUGGUGCAAAGGCCUAUCCACAAGUAUGGCUGUAUGCUGAACCAGUAGUCAAUGACGGGUAUGAUCCAACAAUGGUACCAACCUAAGACAGGAGGCUGACGCCUUGAGGUCAGCUCAUCCUAUGACGGGUAAGGACCAUAUGUAGAAUUGGACAACCUAGAUAGGCAUGGUCCCUUAACUACAUGCUUGGUGUUUAAUUAAACAGAAGGGGGGAGAUGCUGAGAGCCAUAGCCAAGUCAGAAUGACGCUUGGCAUUUUUGCCAGAACAGAGUGGUUGAGAGGUGACUCCAGCAAGCCAUUGAGAUGAUGAUGGUUAUGUUAAGCUGUGUAUUCAAUUGUAUAUUAGACCCCUGCUAUCCACCUCAGGCACCGGCUACUUUGGAGUUCUCACAUUACUUUGGAAGUGGGGAUUCCUGGGGAGUUGUGUUGGUUGGGGAAGUGCCAGAGGAGGGAUUUCCAGUUGGUGUGUGGUGUGUCCUGGGGGAAGGCCGCGUGCAUGGCAUUCCUUUGUUCCUUCUUGAGUGGCUCGUGAUUUGUGCCCAGCCAGACUGCGGCAAUGACUGAAAUUUAAAUUUUGAUAAUAAUAAUAUAUGUGGUUAUUAGAAAUAUAACAGUAGUUAUCAUAUCCCACUAUGCCUUCCAACGUCCUCAUAGGUUGCACAAGAGUUCUGAUGCAUUGAUUAAAACCAUUAGUCGACUUAGAGGAUUCCUAAGAGACACUAAAUGAGCAGUAUGAAAGGGGACAAAGGGACAUGGGCUUGGGUAAGAUCCAGAGAGUCUGACAAUGGAAGAAGGAUGCUGCUUACUCAAGACACUUUAUAUAAGUCUAUAGUAAUGUCAUAAAAUAUUGCCAUCUGCACAUAUUAUAAUAGACAUAAACAUCUUUACUCUUUGGAUAUGACUGGAACCCCAUGAGCUAUGGUGCCCUUGUGCAGUGCAUACCUUCCCAAACAAGUAUGGUGACCUGAGAUGUUUUGCUUUACCCUUUAUAUCUUCAGUAUUUCUUAUUACAUUUUCUUCAGGAUUUGUAAACUAUCAUUUGAAAUUUGUAAGACAUCAAAUAGAGAACAUUAAAAAUGUAUCUCUAGGCCCCCAAGUGAAUUUCAAUAUUAAUAAGAAGCCUAAAUCCCAUGCAGAUAUAUGAAUGCCUGAAUUUAAACAGAGUCUCAGAAGCUGUGAUUUCUGCCUUGUUUUUCUAAAUAGUUACUGGGUGACUUUGUUCCCAUCACUCAAUGCCGUAGUCCGGCUGCAGCAAAAUAACCAGGGGGUGACGAACAACUUGUGUACAUUGAUACAGCAGGAGUAGGAGCUGUUUACUGUAGGACAGGAGGGGUAUUUAUACAUUCCACACAGCUUAUCUAAUUAACAUAAACUAGAUACAGCAGUCAACCAAUAAGGAAUCUCCACACUUAAUGGCUCGCUGGUGUUACUUCACAAACCACUCCCUCUGGUGUUUUGCCAGGCGCCAUCCAGACUUGUUUACAGACUCUAACAUUUCCCCCUUUUGUUUAAUUUAAAUAAGGACCAUAGUGGUUUUUACACAAACACCAUAAAUAAUCUGCUCCAAGCAGAAGGGGAGGAUACAAAAUGCCACAAUACCAAGCCAAUUGAUGGCUCCAUGCAAGAAGCCCUUGGAAAAAUUAUACCAGCAAUGACACAGUUAGCAAAGGUACUGAGUUACAAUUUGUUGUAGAUUACAGUUUGUUGUCUCAGUCCAGGUAAAGCAGUGUCUCAAUAGAUUAACUCACAGUCCAGGUAAGUUCUGCAGGCAGCUAGCUUAAAUCACAGUCCAGGUAAGUUCUGCAGGCAGCUAGCUUAAAUCACAGUCCAGGUAAGUUCUGCAGGCAGUUAGCUUGAUCCGAAGUCUCAUCCAUAUCUCAGCUGAAGUCUCGUCCAGUUUUCAAAUCCAGGCACAGGGAGCAAGAGCCUGCGAGACUGUGCCUGGAUUUGGGCUCUCGCAGUGGCAUCCUGCUCCCUGGGCGGGGGCGGGGAAGAGCCCGUUGUUGCCCUUGGAAAGUCCUUGUUGCGCCAUGACUGGCUCGCAUAUGUGGCAGCCUCCACGGCUUUAUGCACCCUCUGGCAACGAAAAGUAUUUAGUAAUAGCCUUUUGCUGCAACUUUUUUCCUGAUAAUCCUUCUUCUUCUGAAUUUUCUUUUUCUUUCUGACUAGAGUUCCUGGGCUUCCAUCAACACAUGCCCUAACUAUUCUUGGUUCCACUGGGGUGCCUUCUUCCCUUAUCAAUUUACUUAAUACCCCUUCCAUUUUUUCAUCACAAAGACAAUACAUUUCAAGACAAAACAAGACACAAACAUACUGUAUCAAUCUUCUCCAUUUUCUCAAAAUGGCCAUUUUUCCUUUCGCCCUAUCUGCCUAGGGACGAGCAGAUUUGUUACCGUCCUAUCUUAUUAGAGUCUGUAAACAAGUCAAAAUAACACCUGGCAUUUAGCCAGGGGAAUGUUAGAGUUCGUAAACAAGUCUGGAUGGUGCCUGGCAAAAUGCCAGAGGGAGUGGUUUGAGAAGUAACAAAAGCAAGCCAUUAAGUGUGGAGAUUCCUGAUUGGUUGACUGCUGUAUCUAGUUUAUGCUAAUUAGAUAAGCUGUGUGGAAUGUAUAAAUACUGCUCCUGUCCUGCAAUAAACGGCUCCCUCUCCUGCUGUAUCAACGUGCACAAGUUAUUCGUCACCACCCCCACCCCCACCCCCACCCCUGCUAUUUUGCUGCAGCCGGCUGCGGCAGAUGGUGGCCCGUAUACGGGGAGCCCCGGGACACUCGGGGGUAAGUGACAGAAAAAAAAAAAAAAGCUGCCUGUCCAUAGAUAGGACGGGAGCAAAUCUGCUCGUCCCUAGGCAGAUAGGAUGAGAGGAAAAAUGGCCAUUUCGAGAAAAUGGAGAAGAUUGAUACAGUAUGUUUGUGUCUUGUUUUGUCUUGGUGUAUUGUAUUGUCUUUGUGAUGAAAAUAUGGAAGGGGUGAGAAGUAAAUUACUAAGGGAAGAAGGCACCCCAGUGGAACCAAGAAUAGUUAGGGCAUGUGUUGAUGGAAGCCCGGGAACUCUAGUCAGAAAAAAGAAAGUUCAGAGGAGGAAGGAUUAUCAGGAAAAAAGUUGCAGCAAAAGGCUAUUACUGAAUACUUUUCUUACCGAAGGGUAUGUAAAGCUGCGUGGUGGCUGCCACGUGCGCGAGCCAGUCAUGGUGCAGCAAGGAGUUUCCAAGCAGCGGCAGCCAGCUCUUCCCCACCCCCCCCACCCCCCCACCCCCGCCCUAGGAAUGGGACGCCACUGCGAGAGUCCAAAUCCAAACCUGACCCAGAGGCACAGUCUCGCAGGCUCUUGCUCCCUGUGCCCGGAAGCAGUUUGAGUCCAGGACACUCCCCGGGGCCAUCUGGGGCUGCCCGGGAGGCUGCAGGCGGAAGACAGCCCACGUCCCUGAAGUUUGAUCAUUUCCAAGGCCAGUAACUACAAUGGUUCUCCCACACCUGAAAGCUAAUGAGUAAUGAGCACUAUUAAGGCUUAUUUCAAAUGUAAAAAACCUUGAGAUAAUGUACUAAAUUGUUCAAAAGGUUGUUUUCUUAGUGGAAUACUACAGGAUUUUCUUUAACAUCAUUGCUGGAGUUCCUGCCUUCUUCCCAGUGCCGGUAAAGACAAAGGUGGAAGAAUUUCCAGUGUUGCUGAGAACAGGAUGAGACUUCGACUGAGAACCAGGGGAGACUUCAGAUCAAGCUAACUGCCUGCAGAACUUACCUGGACUGUGAUUUAAACUAGCUGCCUGCAGAACUUACCUGGACUGUGAUUUACCUGGACUGUGAGUUAAUCUAUUGAGACACUGCACUGCUUUACCUGGAUUGAGACAACAAACUGUAAUCUAUAACAAAUUUUAACUCGGUAUCUUUGCUAAUGGUGUCAUUGCUGGUAUAAUUUUUCCAAGGACUUCUUGCAUGGAGCCAUCAAUUGGCUUGGUAUUGUGGCAUUUUAUAUCCUCCCCUUCUGCUUGGAGCAGAUUAUUUAUGGUGUUUGUGCAAAAACCAUUAUGGUCCUUAUUUAAAUUAAACAAAAGGGGGAAAUGUUAGAGUCUAUAAACAAGUCAGGAUGGCGCCUGGCAUUUUGCCAGAGAAAUGUUAGGGUCUGUAAACAAGUCAAGAUGGUGCCUGGCAAAAUGCCAGAGGGAGUGGUUUGUGAAGUAACUCCAGCGAGCCAUUAAGUGUGGAGAUUCCUUAUUGGUUGACUGAUGUAUCUAGUUUAUGCUAAUUAAGAGAAGCUGUGUAAAAUUUAUAAAUACCUCUGUUGUCCUACAAUAAACGGCUUCCACUCCUGCUGUAUCAAUCUACACAAGUUGUUCGUCACUCCCUGGUUAUUUUGCUGCAGCCAUACUCUGGCAACUCAACCCCUUUGCUCCUUCAAACAGCA
Molecule: long non-coding RNA, 6957 nt
Filed under: Marmota monax (woodchuck)
Lineage: Eukaryota; Metazoa; Chordata; Mammalia; Rodentia; Sciuridae
Source: RNAcentral